CCGGCGACCGGCGCACGGGUGAGUAACACGUAUGCAACCUGGCCGCCACAGGGGGAUAACCCGCGGAAACGCGGCCUAAUACCCCGUGACGCCACCGGAGGGCAUCCUCCGGUGGCCAAAGGAGCGAUCCGGUGGCGGAUGGGCAUGCGGCGCAUUAGCUAGACGGCGGGGUGACGGCCCACCGUGGCGACGAUGCGUAGGGGUUCUGAGAGGAAGGCCCCCCACACUGGGACUGAGACACGGCCAGACUCCUACGGGAGGCAGCAG
Molecule: ribosomal RNA, 267 nt
Filed under: uncultured bacterium
Lineage: Bacteria
Description: partial 16S ribosomal RNA
Rfam family: Bacterial small subunit ribosomal RNA
Source: RNAcentral